GACAGAGGGGGCAAGCGUUGCUCGGAAUUACUGGGCGUAAAGGGCGCGUAGGCGGGAUGGCAAGUCGGUCGUGAAAUCCUUCGGCUCAACCGAAGAACGUCGAUCGAUACUGCUGUUCUUGAGGGUUGCAGAGGAGACUGGAAUUCCCGGUGUAGCAGUGAAAUGCGUAGAUAUCGGGAGGAAUACCGAUGGCGAAGGCAGGUCUCUGGGCUGACACUGACGCUCAUGCACGAAAGCGUGGGGAGCAAACAGG
This 253-nucleotide ribosomal RNA is filed under the name uncultured prokaryote. RNAcentral's name for it is "partial 16S ribosomal RNA". It matches the Rfam family "Bacterial small subunit ribosomal RNA", at positions 524 to 776 of the family's 1533-position model. The record is from RNAcentral.